Molecule: ribosomal RNA, 492 nt
Filed under: uncultured bacterium
Lineage: Bacteria
Description: partial 16S ribosomal RNA
Rfam family: Bacterial small subunit ribosomal RNA
Source: RNAcentral
AGUGAACGCUGGCGGUAGGCCUAACACAUGCAAGUCGAACGGCAGCACAGUAAGAGCUUGCUCUUACGGGUGGCGAGUGGCGGACGGGUGAGGUAUACAUCGGAAUCUACUUUUUCGUGGGGGAUAACGUAGGGAAACUUACGCUAAUACCGCAUACGACCUACGGGUGAAAGCAGGGGAUCUUCGGACCUUGCGCGAUUGAAUGAGCCGAUGUCGGAUUAGCUAGUUGGCGGGGUAAAGGCCCACCAAGGCGACGCUCCGUAGCUGGUCUGAGAGGAUGAUCAGCCACACUGGAACUGAGACACGGUCCAGACUCCUACGGGAGGCCGCAGUGGGGAAUAUUGGACAAUGGGCGCAAGCCUGAUCCAGCCAUACCGCGUGGGUGAAGAAGGCCUUCGGGUUGUAAAGCCAUUUUGUUGGGAAAGAAAAGCAGCAGGUUAAUACCCCGCUGUUCUGACGGUACCCAAAGAAUAAGCACCGGCUAACUUCGUG